GAUGAACGCUGGCGGCGUGCUUAACACAUGCAAGUCGAACGGAAAGGCUCCUGCUUGCAGGGGUACUCGAGUGGCGAACGGGUGAGUAACACGUGGGUGAUCUGCCCUGCACUUCGGGAUAAGCCUGGGAAACUGGGUCUAAUACCGGAUAGGACCACAUUUUGGAUGGUGUGGUGGAAAGUUUUUCGGUGUGGGAUGAGCUCGCGGCCUAUCAGCUUGUUGGUGGGGUAAUGGCCUACCAAGGCGUCGGCGGGUAGCCGGCCUGAGAGGGUGUACGGCCACAGUGGGACUGAGAUACGGCCCAGACUCCUACGGGAGGCAGCAGUGGGGAAUAUUGCACAAUGGGCGCAAGCCUGAUGCAGCGACGCCGCGUGGGGGAUGACGGCCUUCGGGUUGUAAACUCCUUUCGCUAGGGACGAAGCGUUUUUGUGACGGUACCUGGAGAAGAAGCACCGGCUAACUACGUG
Molecule: ribosomal RNA, 467 nt
Filed under: uncultured bacterium
Lineage: Bacteria
Description: partial 16S ribosomal RNA
Rfam family: Bacterial small subunit ribosomal RNA
Source: RNAcentral